RNAcentral lists this ribosomal RNA (398 nucleotides) under uncultured bacterium. RNAcentral describes it as "bacterial SSU rRNA". It matches the Rfam family "Bacterial small subunit ribosomal RNA", at positions 358 to 773 of the family's 1533-position model. The record is from RNAcentral.
GGAAUAUUGGACAAUGGGCGAAAGCCUGAUCCAGCCAUGCCGCGUGAGUGACGAAGGCCUUAGGGUUGUAAAGCUCUUUCAGUGGGGAAGAUAAUGACGGUACCCACACAAGAAGCCCCGGCUAACUUCGUGCCAGCAGCCGCGGUAAUACGAAGGGGGCUAGCGUUGUUCGGAAUUACUGGGCGUAAAGCGCACGUAGGCGGAUUGGUCAGUUAGAGGUGAAAUCCCGGAGCUCAACUCCGGAACUGCCUUUAAUACUGCCAGUCUCGAGUCCGAGAGAGGUGAGUGGAACUCCUAGUGUAGAGGUGGAAUUCGUAGAUAUUAGGAAGAACACCAGUGGCGAAGGCGGCUCACUGGCUCGGUACUGACGCUGAGGUGCGAAAGCGUGGGGAGCAAAC